GCCCUAGUAGCUCAAUGGUAGAGCAAACGACCGAUAAUCGUUAGAUGUGGGUUCAACUCCUAACUAGGGUACCA
RNAcentral lists this transfer RNA (74 nucleotides) under Parcubacteria group bacterium ADurb.Bin216. RNAcentral describes it as "tRNA-Ile". It matches the Rfam family "tRNA". From Rfam's summary of the family: Transfer RNA (tRNA) molecules are approximately 80 nucleotides in length. Their secondary structure includes four short double-helical elements and three loops (D, anti-codon, and T loops). Further hydrogen bonds mediate the characteristic L-shaped molecular structure. tRNAs have two regions of fundamental functional importance: the anti-codon, which is responsible for specific mRNA codon recognition, and the 3' end, to which the tRNAs corresponding amino acid is attached (by aminoacyl-tRNA synthetases). tRNAs cope with the degeneracy of the genetic code in two manners: having more than one tRNA (with a specific anti-codon) for a particular amino acid; and 'wobble' base-pairing, i.e. permitting non-standard base-pairing at the 3rd anti-codon position. The record is from RNAcentral.